AUACGGAGGGGGUUAGCGUUGUUCGGAAUUACUGGGCGUAAAGCGCACGUAGGCGGAUUGAUUAGUUAGAGGUGAAAUCCCAGGGCUCAACCCUGGAACUGCCUUUAAUACUGUCAGUCUAGAGAUCGAGAGAGGUGAGUGGAAUUCCUAGUGUAGAGGUGAAAUACGUAGAUAUUAGGAGGAACACCAGUGGCGAAGGCGGCUCACUGGCUCGAUACUGACGCUGAGGUGCGAAAGCGUGGGGAGCAAACAGGAUUAGAAACCCUAGUAGUCC
Molecule: ribosomal RNA, 274 nt
Filed under: uncultured bacterium
Lineage: Bacteria
Description: partial 16S ribosomal RNA
Rfam family: Bacterial small subunit ribosomal RNA
Source: RNAcentral